GCGCCCUUAGCUCAGCUGGACAGAGCAUCGGAUUUCUAAUCCGUCGGUCGUGGGUUCGAGUCCCGCAGGGCGCACCA
This 77-nucleotide transfer RNA is filed under the name Siccirubricoccus sp. G192. Its description in RNAcentral is "tRNA-Arg". It matches the Rfam family "tRNA". From Rfam's summary of the family: Transfer RNA (tRNA) molecules are approximately 80 nucleotides in length. Their secondary structure includes four short double-helical elements and three loops (D, anti-codon, and T loops). The record is from RNAcentral. Lineage: Bacteria; Pseudomonadati; Pseudomonadota; Alphaproteobacteria; Acetobacterales; Roseomonadaceae.